This 370-nucleotide ribosomal RNA is filed under the name uncultured eukaryote. RNAcentral's name for it is "bacterial SSU rRNA". It matches the Rfam family "Eukaryotic small subunit ribosomal RNA", at positions 592 to 1013 of the family's 1831-position model. The record is from RNAcentral.
CAAUAGCAUAUAUUAAAUUUGUUGCAGUUGAAAAGUUCGUAGUUGAAAAUGCAACGUUUCCGUCAUGUAGACCUUGCGUCCUCGUGAUGGAAAAUCGGACAGAUCUGAUGUUCUUCCGAUGUCACCGUGAUCAAAUUAUAGUGCUCAAGGGUCCUAUGUGCGCCAGCAUGGAAUGACACUAUACAUUUCCAGCUUCUUCCGGAUGCUCUGGAAGUUGGAUGAAUACUUAUAAGAAUGGAGAGUGACAUUCAUAUUUAACUGUCAGAGGUGAAAUUCUUAGACCAGUUAAAGGUGAACUACAGCGAAAGCACUUGUCGGAUACAUCUUUGUUAAUCAAGAACGAAAGUUGAGGGAUCGAAGAUGAUCAGAU